CACGUAGUUAGCCGGGGCUCCUUAGUCAGGUACCGUCAUUAUCUUCCCUGCUGAUAGAGCUUUACAUACCGAAAUACUUCUUCACUCACGCGGCGUCGCUGCAUCAGGGUUUCCCCCAUUGUGCAAUAUUCCCCACUGCUGCCUCCCGUAGGAGUCUGGGCCGUGUCUCAGUCCCAAUGUGGCCGUUCACUCUCUCAAGCCGGCUACUGAUCGUCGCCUUGGUAGGCCGUUACCCUGCCAACUAGCUAAUCAGACGCGGGUCCAUCUCACAGCGAUAAAUCUUUGAAGGAACCUUCAUGCGGAGAUCCCUUGUUAUGCGGUAUUAGCAGCCGUUUCCGGCUGUUGUCCCCCUCUGUGAGGCAGGUUACCCACGCGUUACUCACCCGUCCGCCACUCAGUCAUUACCAUCUUCCCUCCGAAAAGUUCCGUCGGUAGCGCUUCGUUCGACUUUGCAUGUGUUAAGCACGCCGCCAGCGUUCAUCCUGA
RNAcentral lists this ribosomal RNA (486 nucleotides) under uncultured Lachnospiraceae bacterium. RNAcentral's name for it is "partial 16S ribosomal RNA". The record is from RNAcentral. Lineage: Bacteria; Bacillati; Bacillota; Clostridia; Lachnospirales; Lachnospiraceae.